Molecule: ribosomal RNA, 253 nt
Filed under: uncultured bacterium
Lineage: Bacteria
Description: partial 16S ribosomal RNA
Rfam family: Bacterial small subunit ribosomal RNA
Source: RNAcentral
UACGAAGGGGGCUAGCGUUGUUCGGAAUCACUGGGCGUAAAGGGCGCGUAGGCGGCCGAUCAAGUCGGGGGUGAAAGCCUGUGGCUCAACCACAGAAUUGCCUUCGAUACUGUUUGGCUUGAGACCGGAAGAGGUUAGUGGAACUGCGAGUGUAGAGGUGAAAUUCGUAGAUAUUCGCAAGAACACCAGUGGCGAAGGCGGCUGACUGGUCCGGUUCUGACGCUGAGGCGCGAAAGCCAGGGGAGCGAACGGG